This is a non-coding RNA of Acanthisitta chloris (rifleman), 46 nucleotides long. NCBI's taxonomy places the organism in Eukaryota, Metazoa, Chordata, Aves, Passeriformes, Acanthisittidae. The record is from Rfam.
CCAAAGGCUCUUUUAAGGGCCACCCACGUUUUCCUUUAAAAGAGCU